Non-coding RNA from Triticum urartu, 76 nucleotides. The record is from the annotation of a RefSeq genome assembly. Lineage: Eukaryota; Viridiplantae; Streptophyta; Magnoliopsida; Poales; Poaceae.
GGGCCCAUUUCUCAGUUGGUAGAGCACAAGGCUCUUAACCUUGUGGUCGUGGGUUCGAGCCCCACGAUGGGUGCCA